UUUCUGUUAAGUAUCUGUAUAUGUAAGUAUGUAUAUGUUAUAUACUUAUAUCUGUCUUUCUUGGAAAGUUUUUUUUUUUUUUUUGUGCGCAUGUUAUGUCAGUUGAGUUUUUGUUGAUUUCUGCUAUCACAAGCUAAUCAAUCAGUAAUUGGUUUUCUUUUUGUUUGCUUAUAGUGUGAAGGAAUUUUUUCAGUUUGCUAAUAGAGUUUGCCAUGUGAUCCAAUCUCUUUUUCUUUCCCCGUAGCUCACUUCUAGAUAGCCUUUAUCCAACUUAAUGUGAAGGCACUCAAUACCAUCUGUUUCAAAUCUGCUGUGAAUGUAAUAGAUUUUAACCAAACUACAGAAUGAAGUUGACACCUAGAAUUUGUAUCUGUUUAUAUAUACAACUUACACAAAUUCAGAUAUUAAAAUGGAUUUCCUUAUUCUGAUUGUAUUAUGACUAAACAUUGUAAUCAGUUUUCAACUUGGUCAUCUACAAAACAAGAUUAAUUUACUUUUCAAAGCCUCAGUACCUCUUUUCCUAUCAAUUCAAAUAUGUCAUUGUACUUUUUAGGAGCUCUAAUGUACUGCUUUUCUCUCAGGUCACUGAUAACUUCCUUCAUGAGGUCACUAGCAAUCUGGAAACUCUCAUAUUUUGCUCCCAGACUUUUAUAAGCAAGAAUUUCGUACUUGGAGGAAAUGGGGGAAUUUCAAAGGUAAAGGGGAGCUUCUGGUCUUGAUUUCGAUUGAGUUUUUAAAGGGAUGAUGAGGAACUAAGGAGGACUGCAGGAAGCAGCAGGUCCUUGAGACUAUGGUCUCGGCAGAACUGGUACAAGGUAAGAAUUCCAAGCCUUUGAGUUGUGAAUGUGUUUCUGUUGGGAUAUUGAGAUUAAUUAAAUCUGUUAUUUUGUGCUGGAGAUGAAUAUAUGGAAUUGAUGUAUAAAACCAUUAGAUUGAUUGAAUUUGGGAUGUAUAUGAAUUUUAUUAAUACAGAAUUGAAAUGCUUCUGCAAUUUGUUUCG
Rosa rugosa (rugosa rose) is the source of this 1000-nucleotide long non-coding RNA. RefSeq lists it as uncharacterized. Lineage: Eukaryota; Viridiplantae; Streptophyta; Magnoliopsida; Rosales; Rosaceae. The transcript is spliced from 2 exons. The record is from RefSeq and is a predicted model, not a curated record.